Molecule: long non-coding RNA, 925 nt
Organism: Alosa sapidissima (American shad)
Lineage: Eukaryota; Metazoa; Chordata; Actinopteri; Clupeiformes; Clupeidae
Exons: 2
Source: RefSeq, a predicted model, not a curated record
UGACACAAUGUGCACUAGUAUUAUGUCUGUAAACUAGUUAGCCUUACCCAAAUCAUUGAUUUUAAUAUGAUAAGUUGCAUCUUGUAGCAUAUCUUGUAGGAAGAACUCACUGUAGGUAUGCAUGUUAAUUUAACUUUGGGCUUCACUCUGAUCAGGGCAAAGGAAACCAUGUGGCUUUCACCAGCAGCCUUCACUGAAUCUGAACAUCAGAAGGAGACCAUAAAAAGUCUUUACGGAUAUUUUCAAGUGUCACAAAUGUGGGAUGUCCCCAGCUUUUAUUGCCGUCAUAUCUUCCAGUGGACAUCAAUAAUAAUCCAGUAUGCACAAACACAGGACAGAUGCAACUGAUAUGUUUGUUACUUUCUUCUGUAAUGUCAUGUAUUGUUCCCUUUUUCAUCAGUUAUCCGAGUAACUUUUGUUUUCAAAUGCUUCUCUUGAUUGUACCCUGUUAUUGCAUCCUAAUCUUCUUUUGCUAUCCUACUCUUCUUUAAGGACAUGCCACUGUGAAUGACAGCAGCUCAUAACGGAUCAUUUCCAAUCAUGGUGAUUGUGUCAGAUCACAUGUGGCAUGCUGGUGUCAUGUGAUCAAGCAUUCUAUACUGUAUGUGGACUGCAAUGCAGAGGAAACAGGUGAGCAGAGCAGAGGCAAAAGGAGAGACACAUAUUAGGGCAAGUCUUAUUGGCUCUUUCACCAGAAAAAUACAGCACAUCUUUGCACUGGUGUCUCUUCUUAUCACCACCAAGGUCCACCUUUGGAGUAAAUAUUCAUCAAAAUUUCACUAAUACCAAUACCAAUCAAAUCUUUCACCCUGGACUGUCAGCAUGAUAAUACAAGUCAUUACAGGCUGUUCUGGUACAGACAGCAGAACUAUGGACAAUUGAACAUGAUUGGUUAUUCUAGUGCUAAAGAUAAUGGACAAAUAGA